Peromyscus californicus insignis is the source of this 6824-nucleotide long non-coding RNA. RefSeq lists it as uncharacterized. The transcript is spliced from 7 exons. The record is from RefSeq and is a predicted model, not a curated record. NCBI's taxonomy places the organism in Eukaryota, Metazoa, Chordata, Mammalia, Rodentia, Cricetidae.
AAGAUAACACCAAACAGACAUGAAAGGGUAUCCUUUAGCAUGAAAGUGGGAGAUGUUCUUAGUGUUUGCUUAAAUGAAAUGCCAAGAAUGGGGAGGGUGAAGAGGAAUCAACCAAUCCAGAAACUCUGAAAAUCCCAAUGCCCCCUCAAUCUUGCAUUAUGUCAGAGUGUGCUGUUUGCUCCUUUCCUGCUUUUCAGCAUUGGGGUUGAAGACCAUGGUUAAGGAGGACAAAGGACAGAAAUGGAACCAGGCUUGAUUGCUAGCAACUGUACCGUGGAUGGCUCACAAUCAUCCAUACCUCCAGUUCCAAGGAAUCAGAUAUCUUCUUCGGUCCUCUGCAGGCACCAGGCACACCCUUGGUGCACAAACAUACAUGACAGCUGAACAUUCUUUGGAGGCAACACUAUAAUAGUGAGCUUCCUAGGAGGAAGCCACCAACAGAGACGACUGCUGAACGAGAAGCCAGAUCCAGAAAUCAGGAAAAAAACAAGGUGCAAUGAGAAGACAACCACUCUGGAAGAGGGGAGUCACCAAGAGCCAGGCUACACUAGCCUCUUGGUCUCAGACGCCUCGUCCACAGAACUCUGAGAAUGAAGCCUAGUCCACGGAACUCUGAGAAUGAAGCCUAGUCCACGGAACUGUGAGAAUGAAGCCUAGUCCACAGAACUCUGAGAAUGAAGCCUAGUCCACAGAACUCUGAGAAUGAAGCCUAGUCCACAGAACUCUGAGAAUGAAGCCUAGUCCACAGAACUCUGAGAAUGAAGCCUAGUCCACAGAACUCUGAGAAUGAAGCCUCGUUCACGGAACUGUGAGAAUGAAGCCUCAUCCACGGAACUGUGAGAAUGAAGCCUCGUCCACGGAACUGUGAGAAUGAAGCCUCGUCCACAGAACUGUGAGAAUUAGGUAUCCGCUGUUUGUCACCCAGACUCUGGUUAGAUUUAGCUAUAAAUGCUUUCAGGUGUUAACUUCCUCAGACUAAUGAGGCCUUUUUGUUGUUCUUCCAACAAAGCUGCAUUUGGUGAGCUACGGCUAGGAAUGAGGCUCUGGAAAUCUCUUCCCCACAAUGAAACCCCUUGCUAUACAGCUCAGGAACCAGGCAGCAGCAACUAAAGUGAGUCCCAAUUCAAAAUUCCACAUGAAUGACCCUCACAUAGCUUGACAGAUUUUCAAAGUAAGUACUCGGUAAAAGCAAUUACUAAUGGAUAAUAUGAUUACAAAGAAUUUUUCUCUUUUUUUCUUUUUAUUUUGCAGUACAAAUCAGUUCUACAUAUCAGCCACGGACUCCCCUGUUCUCCCCCGUCUCGCCCCCUCACCUUCCCCCCAGCCCACCCCCCAUUCCCACCUCCUCCAGGGCAAAGCCUUCCCCGAGGACUGAGAUCAACCUGGUAGACUCAGUCCAGGUAGCUCUAGUCCCCUCCUCUCAGGCCGAGCCAAGCGAUCCUGCAUAGGCCCCAGGUUUCAAACAGCCAACUCAUGCAAUGAGCACAGGACCCGGUCCCACUGCCUGGAUGCCUCCCAAACAGAUCAAGCCAAUCAACUGUCUCACCCAUUCGGAGGGCCUGAUCCAGUUGGGGACCCCUCAGCCAUUGGUUCAUAGUUCAUGUGUUUCCAUUCGUUUGGCUAUUUGCCCCUGUGCUUUAUUCUUUUUUGCUUUUCUGUAUUUUCUCUUGUUUAUAAUGAGAAAAUUAGUUUUUUUUUUUAAAUAAGAAAAAUGAUGCUUCCUUAAAAUUAAAAGUCCAGGGAUGUAAAUUGUUUUAUAGCUCACCUUAAAAAUGACAUUUAAGUAUGCUUGGCAAACAUUUCGUAUAAACAUAGUUGUUUAUCUUCAAUUUGAGAAAUGAAUUCAUUAGGUGCUAUCAAACUGAGUGGUACCUAGCACUCCCUUUCUCUUCCUAUCCAGACUUGGCCUCAGAAAGGAAUGCCUUGGAACCAAUAAAGACAUCAGGGUGUAUCUGUUAGCUGAUUCUCCUAGAAUCCGUCAGCAAUUUGAUUUUAAAUGCAGGAGGAAGAUUAAUUAAAGGCGAUAGUCCUUAACGGUAACUUCUCAUUCUCCAGAUUCAGAACAUUCCUGGAAGAGGUGGUAUUGUAUACAGCUUGCUUUAAAAUUAUUUGAUUUCCUGUAUUAAGAUAGUUGGAUGAAAUAAAAACUAGAAGACUUUUAUAGGUAUCUGAUAAGAAAAAUAUCUAGAGCUUUUACAAAUCUCUACACAAAAUAAAAUUCUUAGUAUUAAAACAAUAUAUAAGCACCAAAAUGACAAAUUAUUUAGUUAAGAAAAGAAGGAAAAAUCUUAUUAAAAAAAAUCUUAGAGCAUACAAAGUUUAUCAUCAAGAAAAGCAAUUUAUUUUAUAAUACAAGGGUGGGGAUUCAAUAUAUUGUGACAAAUAUAGUAAUGUAUUAGCUUUAUAUAAUAUUUUAAUAUUCUACAAAUGCAUAUACCUAAUUAUACUACAAGAAAAAAUAGUAAAAUCAUAUUUGUUGAAAUUCUGGAUAUUCCAAUGAGAUAUAGUAAGUUUUUAAAUAUUUAUAUUCAUUUUAAUGAGUUUAUAAAAGCUAAAAUAAAUUACAAGUGUCCUUGACACUUAAGACAAAAAAAAAUACAAACAUGUAACAAUAUGCCCUAUAAAAGAAGUAAUUUUGUGAUGUUAAAAUUAACAUGUAAUACUUUAUUAUUUUAUGUGGAUUUUUAACUGGGAAAACUGAACAGAAGACAAAGCAUUACCAAUUAUUUGUUCUCUGAAUACAGAACUGAAGCUGGAGAUCAAACAUUACAAACAGGUGGUGAUGACCAUGAUGUCCAAACCAUGAGGCCUUAAUCAGAUGGGCAAAGAAUAUGACAGACAGAGUUGCAAGGGAAAUGGCCCUUUUCUGGAAUGUACCUUUACUCUUCUAUUAACUAAUUAACUAACUUCCUGAAGUACCAAUCCUUAAUUAGAAAGGGGCAGAUACCACCUACCUACUUUGAAAGGUUGUUGAAAUGAUGAAUGCAUUGGAAACAUCUAAAAUAUACUGUGUGUGGUAACUUUCAUUUUUAAUACCAGCAUUUAAGAGACGAAGACAGGAGGAAACAAAUAAACUGACGACAACUAUGAAUUCAUUACAGGUAUUUUCUAGGGGAAAAAAAGUACCCAGUUUCACUAAUAAAACAUGUACCUUUAUGUAAAUCAAGGUUUACCUGAGACAAAUUAUUAAAAUACUUCUUAAUAUUAGACUUCAAUCAUUGGAGCUAAAAUAUCAUGAAAGCAAAUUUUUAAGUCAAAGGGAAUAUAAUCCUUAAGGAGCUAUGAGGAGGUUUGCUUCUGCAUAUUUGUUGUUAGUACAAUAAAGUUAGAUGACAGGAAUCCAAGCAUCGGGGCUCUGAAAGCAUAAUGGAUUCCCACAGAUGACUUUAGCAUAAGGCAAUGGAUGCAAAAUGGAUGCCCCCUGAGUGGAGGUGACAUUCGAUUAUUUCCUUAGCUAUUCAUUGUGACAAAGGAGCUGAGGCUACACAGUUGCCUCUGCCUUUUCAGUAUAAUAAUGGUUCUAAGCAAAAAAUUAAAACUCUUCAAUCCAAGGACCAUGCAACUAGAAAUAUUAGGAAGUAUUAAUCACUUCACACAUUCCACAGAUAUUUUUCUUGCACACAAAUAUUUGUAUAAGUAGCUUCCCAGCAACCAUGAGAUCAUGUAUUAAAUAGAUAAGUAGCAGGGUGUGGUAACUUGCAUUUAUAAUACCAGCAUUUAAGAGACGAAGACAGGAGGAAUUUCUUGAGUUUGGAUUGAGCCUGGGUUAUAUGGUGAGUUCAAAACUAGCUUGGGCUAGGAGAGGGAAGGCAGAUAAACACUAAGGAUAUUUGAAAAAGCCAUAAAUAAUCAUGUUAAUUUAUAUUUACCUAAAAUUACAUAUAAUGUGUAUAAGCGUUUAUGUAUACAUAUGUAUAUAGUUUAAAGAAAGCUAUGCCUCUUGGGGGUGAUAAUGCUUUCCCCAAUAGCCAUAGAUUAUCUUACAAAAACCAUACUAUUAGGCAAGAGAAAUUUUCUUUCAAAUUGUUGGUGGGGGAGUCCAAGAGAAUCCCAAACAAUAUGGGCUAUUGUGUGUUUUCCUUGAUUGCCUCCUAGAAAUUGAAGUUAAGUCACUAUUACUGAAGACACCAUGCACACUGGACAAAGGACUUAGAAAAAUAUAGCUGGAUUUCACCUAAAAGUCUAAAAGUCCCCAGCCUGAGGACUAGUUUCUAGCACGGGAGGGUGUUAUGCAAGCUGCUAAGGGAGAGAAGCAAUCAGUAGUCCCAGCUGGCUGUAAUACAUGUGAACCACAACAAUGUCCAGAACUGAAAGACACGCCUAAAACUGCAAUGAUACGUGUAUCUUGAUGAUAAUUGUGGUGGUUUGAAAGAAAGAAAAAGGCCCCCAAAGGGAAUGGCACUCUUAGGAGGUGUAGCCUUAAUGGAGUAGGUACGGUCUUGUUGAAGGAAAUGUGUCACUGUGGAGACAGGCUUUGAGGUCUCACACACUGCCCAAUAUGACACACACUUCCUGUUGUCUGCCUAUCAAGAUGUUGGACUCUCAGCUGCAGCAUCAUGUCUGCCUGCACACCACCAUGUCACACCAUGAUGGUAAUGAACUAAACAUCUGAAAAUGGUUCCUAACAGGAGGGAAAUCAUGCCUGGUACUGGAAACCUGUCCCACCACUGGUGGCUGGUGAGGUUACAUGUCUAGAGGAAAACCUUACCACUCCAACUUUACGAAAAGAGCAACACAUUCCUGGCUGUCUGACAGCAAACAGCAGAAUCUUCUAGUAUCUACAAAAAGAGAGAUAAGGACUGAAGUCAAUUAUGAGGCGUGCUGAGAAAGUGCUUUAGAAGUUAAGAGGGCCUGAAAGUGUUUGAGUGAAGAGAGCACAAGGGAACAGUCACUAAACAGAUUCAUCACCCUACAUUUGAGAAUCUGAGAGGAAUUCCACACCCUUUCUUAAGAAAGACUCUGAGAGGUAAAGUUAAAUCACCCUUUGUUUCAAAACACAAUGCCGGGAAGUUAAAUGAAUACCUUGAAUUUUACCAUGACUAGACAAAGCCUACAUUUGACAUCUGUACUUUUCAGACAAAAGCUGGGAAUGACCCUUCCACUUAUAUCAAUCAGAUGAAAACUUUUACUCUUCAUGGAGGCCAGAGGAGAAGGGAAAUACAUUUAGCUCAUUUGAAGAAGUAAAUAAUUUUACUGGCUUGGGUCCUUUGCUUUUCUCAAACUAUUCCAUGAAAAUAGAGAACAUAUUUUAAAAAUUACAAAAUGAUAGCCUUAUGGAACCAAUAGACCAAGUUUUAAAUCCCAACUGCACAAUUUACUAGCUCUUAACUUGAAACAAAAGGAGUAACAAUAAUAGUAGCAGUAAAUUCUUGGAAUUUUUAAAAAAUGUUUAAGUAAAUGACUAUAUCAAGAAAUAAAAACCAUGUCUUUGUACAUGUGCUGAAAUGCAAAGUUUGCUAUAAUAUGUUUUGGUCAGCACAGAGGUAAGGUAAAAUCUUCUCAUGCAUAUUUUAUUUUGAAAUUUUCAACUUAGAAAAAAAAACUGUAUUGAAUAUAUAACCUACCUCUGGUUUGCAUCAUUAUUAAAGCAUCUGGUCCUGCUCUUGACCAGUCAUAAGGAAGUGCUUUGUACCAAGCAAUUGUUAAGAUGUGGAAUGAAAAACCCUGCAACUUUGUAACAAUAACAACAGCAAAAAUGCUUAGUAAAAGAAAAAAUACUGAAGAACCUGUUUCCAUUAGCAAGAUGAGAAACCUACUAUUCCUGGAAGUCCACCCUUUAAUAUCAGACUUCUGGGGAGUUUGGAUGGACCCAUACAGGCAUGUGCUAGGCUUGGGUGACUUCUAAUGUGUCCCUUUUCUAGUUCUGCCCUUGGUGUCACUUAACUCAGCUUCCGGGGGAACAUUUUCAUCUGGAAAACUGACAAAUGUGUCCUCUCCUCCCAUUUCAGCAUUUCUCAGAGACUGAUUGACAAGUAUCACAUCCAUUGUAUUUAUAUUAAAUGCUCCACAAAAUGUCACUAAAUGAGAUGUCAUCAAACUGAGUGAACAUUUAUCUUGCAAAAUCUAAUGUCUUUCUCUCCUUAGUAUAAGGAUAUUUAUGAUAUUGGUCUGCAAGUUUUAAAACUUUCUAGUUUUUGAAGAAAUAUUUGGGAAAUUUCUUUCUGAUAGACCAAGAAGAUACAUGCUCUAGCAUGUAUUAUUUGUCUUUUGGGAAAUGGGCCUUCAUUUUUGAAGUUAUAAAAACCAGAGGUCAUUUAUAAUCCACUAAAAAUAAAUAUAGAACUUGAUAUAUGUUCUGCUUAAGAAUUUUCACACAAUUUUACCUUAUUGCUCUGAUUUUUCUGUAGCUCAAAUUCCUGUCAUUUUAAGAACCUUAGCUUUGUAUUUGUUCAUAUUUUAGGAUUUAUAUAUACAUAUAUUACUAAACUUUUAUCCUAAUUUAAAUGAUAUUAAUCUGCUAAAACUAUACUCUGUCCAAUUCUAUUUCUUGAUCACAUACAAAUGUUUAAUUACUUAGGCAUAACUUUAAAUAAAGUUUUAAAUCAGUUGAAGUUUACUCAGAAGGUUUCAGUCAGCCAAACUCAGUUAAAAGGUACAUAAGAAACUGCAGGAAUCCUUCUUCUGAUCUUAAGUUUUCAAUGUUGGUUUCAACUAGGCACCAUGUUCCUAAAAAUAGUUAAGUAAUUAAUCCAAACUAUUUUUCAAGAAAGCAAAACAUGUACUUACGGGAAAAAGAAAAAGGACCAUUUUACAGAAGGAGCCAUGUGAUGCUAUUUGUUAUUUUCUAAAAUGAGCAUCAAAAUGAAAUAAAUCAUAUAAUCUAC